Molecule: ribosomal RNA, 373 nt
Filed under: uncultured bacterium
Lineage: Bacteria
Description: bacterial SSU rRNA
Rfam family: Bacterial small subunit ribosomal RNA
Source: RNAcentral
GACGAACGCUGGCGGCGUGCUUAACACAUGCAAGUCGAGCGGUAAGGCCCUUUUGGGGGUACACGAGCGGCGAACGGGUGAGUAACACGUGGGUGACCUGCCCUCAGCUCUGGGAUAAGCCUGGGAAACUGGGUCUAAUACUGGAUAUGACCUUUCCUCGCAUGGGGUUGGGGUGGAAAGUUUUUCGGCUGGGGAGUGGGCCCGCGGCCUAUCAGCUUGUUGGUGGGGUGAUGGCCUACCAAGGCGACGACGGGUAGCCGGCCUGAGAGGGCGACCGGCCACACUGGGACUGAGACACGGCCCAGACUCCUACGGGAGGCAGCAGUGGGGAAUAUUGCGCAAUGGGCGGAAGCCUGACGCAGCGACGCCGCGU